UACGUAGGGGGCUAGCGUUGUCCGGAAUCAUUGGGCGUAAAGCGCGUGUAGGCGGUUCGGUAAGUCCGCUGUGAAAGUCGGGGGCUCAACCCUCGAAAGCCGGUGGAUACUGUCGGGCUAGAGUACGGAAGAGGCGAGUGGAAUUCCUGGUGUAGCGGUGAAAUGCGCAGAUAUCAGGAGGAACACCGGUGGCGAAGGCGGGUCUCUGGGCCGAUACUGACGCUGAGGAGCGAAAGCGUGGGGAGCGAACAGG
This 253-nucleotide ribosomal RNA is filed under the name uncultured bacterium. RNAcentral's name for it is "partial 16S ribosomal RNA". It matches the Rfam family "Bacterial small subunit ribosomal RNA", at positions 524 to 776 of the family's 1533-position model. The record is from RNAcentral.